Molecule: long non-coding RNA, 671 nt
Organism: Zophobas morio
Lineage: Eukaryota; Metazoa; Arthropoda; Insecta; Coleoptera; Tenebrionidae
Exons: 2
Source: RefSeq, a predicted model, not a curated record
UGUUUAAAUAACAACAUAAAUAACACAUGUUUACCAUAACUAGCAUAGAAUUCACUUUAUCAUUUGCAUACCUAUCUGCUACUUAAAAUAUCGAAUAAAAUGUUAUCAACAUUGUGGAAGGUAAACUAACAUUCAUGUGACGUUAUUGUCAUUUUAAAACAGAUUAUUUAAACAAAUAAUUUCAAUGUAACUUACACACACUUGUCGGUCACAUCGUACAAAACUUAUAUAAAAUCAUAAUUUGAUUUAAAUUUGUAAUUAUGAACUGCAUUGUUUUCUCAAUCCUUUUUACUUUUCUGUGGGUUUGGAACAUCAGCACAGAGGCGCUAAUUGUGUGUCCUCCACAUCCAUGCCAAAAUGUCACUUGUAAGCCGCCUCCCAAAUGUGAUGGCCCCAAUUACGAGAUAGGACCUGGAGGUUUUUGUGGAUGUUGUAAACAGUGCAUUCAUAUUUUGCAACAAAACGAAAGCUGCUGGAUGACACAAAUAAGGGGUCCAAGUCCACCAUCCGAAAAAUGUGCUACAGGACUGACAUGUAAGGAUGGAAUAUGUCAAAAGUAAUUUUUGCCGAAAUUCCAAUAUACAUAUAAAACACGUUUAUUUACAAACAUUGCUGUAUUUUAUUCUAUUAAUAUAAAACUAAUUAAUUAUUAAUAAAUUUAAUUUUUCCGA